This 376-nucleotide ribosomal RNA is filed under the name uncultured bacterium. RNAcentral describes it as "bacterial SSU rRNA". It matches the Rfam family "Bacterial small subunit ribosomal RNA", at positions 523 to 898 of the family's 1533-position model. The record is from RNAcentral.
AUACGGAGGGUGCAAGCGUUGUUCGGAAUUAUUGGGCGUAAAGGGCGCGUAGGCGGUAAUGUAAGUCAGAUGUGAAAUACUCCGGCUCAACCAGAGAAUUGCAUCUGAAACUGCAUAACUAGAGUACAGAAGAGGGAAACGGAAUUCCCGGUGUAGAGGUGAAAUUCGUAGAUAUCGGGAGGAACACCAGUGGCGAAGGCGGUUUCCUGGUCUGAUACUGACGCUGAGGCGCGAAAGCGUGGGGAGCAAACAGGAUUAGAAACCCUGGUAGUCCACGCUGUAAACGGUGAACACUAGGUGUGGGAGGUGUAAUACCUUCCGUGCCGUAGCUAACGCGUUAAGUGUUCCGCCUGGGAAGUACGGCCGCAAGGUUGAA